This 345-nucleotide ribosomal RNA is filed under the name uncultured bacterium. RNAcentral describes it as "bacterial SSU rRNA". It matches the Rfam family "Bacterial small subunit ribosomal RNA", at positions 373 to 710 of the family's 1533-position model. The record is from RNAcentral.
GGGCGAAAGCCUGACGGAGCAACGCCGCGUGAGUGAUGAAGGUCUUCGGAUCGUAAAACUCUGUUAUUAGGGAAGAACAAAUGUGUAAGUAACUAUGCACGUCUUGACGGUACCUAAUCAGAAAGCCACGGCUAACUACGUGCCAGCAGCCGCGGUAAUACGUAGGUGGCAAGCGUUAUCCGGAAUUAUUGGGCGUAAAGCGCGCGUAGGCGGUUUUUUAAGUCUGAUGUGAAAGCCCACGGCUCAACCGUGGAGGGUCAUUGGAAACUGGAAAACUUGAGUGCAGAAGAGGAAAGUGGAAUUCCAUGUGUAGCGGUGAAAUGCGCAGAGAUAUGGAGGAACACC